AAUCUUCUGUUAUUUCUCUUCAUGUUUUAAAGAUAUCAUCUCCUUCCUCUAUGUUCUCCUCUGUUCUUCAUAAUCUUCGCUCUCACCACUUUCUUCAUGGUUACCACUUCUGUCGCUGUCGUGAAGGAAGAACCGCUGCUGUCUCCGUCAUUUAAGAAAAAACGCCUCUGUGCUUGAGGAAGCAUCGGCUCGUAGCAGUGGAGGCAACCGACCUUCUUCUUAAGAUUUAGUCCAUCUUCCUCGCCGUCACGUUUUGCUCUCUGUCCAAGACUCACCGGAGAUGAAGAUUCGUACCACUCUAGCUUCUCACCUCUCUAACUCGACGGUGGUGGGAUUUGAGAGAAGCGGAUUUGGAAGUAUAUGCGACGGCUGGAAGUAGAAGCAUCGAUGGUGGCUAAAGCGUCGAAGGUGAAGCAUCGAUGGUGGCUGAAGCGUUGAGAGUACGGUGGAGAAAGAUGACUGGAGGAGGACGACGGCGGCGGCUUAGAUUUAGGCUUUUCUUGUAUUUUGUUUGUAUUUAUGUUUAUAUAUUUACAUAUUUGUUUUAAACAAAAAAAACAUAUUUGUUUUUAUUAAUUAUAUCAAAUUGUUUUUUUGUUUAAA
Long non-coding RNA from Brassica napus (rape), 603 nucleotides. RefSeq lists it as uncharacterized. The transcript is spliced from 2 exons. The record is from RefSeq and is a predicted model, not a curated record. NCBI's taxonomy places the organism in Eukaryota, Viridiplantae, Streptophyta, Magnoliopsida, Brassicales, Brassicaceae.